Dermochelys coriacea (leatherback sea turtle) is the source of this 2976-nucleotide long non-coding RNA. RefSeq lists it as uncharacterized. The record is from RefSeq and is a predicted model, not a curated record. The transcript is spliced from 2 exons. NCBI's taxonomy places the organism in Eukaryota, Metazoa, Chordata, Testudines, Dermochelyidae.
ACCAUCAGACAUUAGAGAAUGUGUUUUCAUCACAGUGAACAGAGGGCUACACAGACUGCUUGUAACUGUUUUUAGCACAGUAAACAUGUAAACCAAAUGCCUAGGAAAAAAAGCUUUGCCUGGCAGCAAUUGAUCAUUUUUAAUUAAAACUUGAUAUAUUGAUAUUAAAAUGUGAUAUAUGAAUUUAACCAGCAAGAGAUGCCAACCCUAAAUGAUUUAGGGCACCACUAUUUAAGACUGCUUCUCACCCUAUAUCCCAUCACAGUACUUGCAAUCAGCUGGGGAGCGCCUGCUGUCAGUCCCCAGGAUAAAAAGCAAAUUGCUGGAGGCAGAGUGCUCUCAAGAGAGGGUCUGUUUGUACUGAAUGCAUUUCCUCAGCCAGUCUAUCAGAGCCUGUAGCUGCCUCCUUUCAGGCUGUGAUGCAAGACACCUCCUUGGUUUAGUUUACUGCAAAUGGUGAGGUUUAGUAGUUGGGUGGGUUUGGUUUGCUAGCAGGUGGGGGCGGUUUAAGGUAGUAUCAGAUGUAAUAUAUAUUCUUAGUUUGGUUUAUGAUGCCAAGGUACCAUUGGAAUGGACAUCUGUAGCAGGGUGGUUACCUGCUCCAGCCCUGACAGGGAUAAGGCCAGCCCUGGGAGAGGGCUGGGGCUGUGCGAAAAAGCCCAGGCUGAUUAAGGGAGCAACCGCAGCUGUGGCCAGCUCAAUCAGGCCCAGCUGGCCCCUAUAAGAGGCUGUGAGCCAGGAACCCUCUCAGCUUCCCUCUACAGGCAGAGGGAGAAGCACCUGGCUGCAAGGUGCUAAGCAGGACACCUAGAUUGGAGCAGGGCUGGGGAAGGGUCAGAGGAGCUGGGAGCUCUGGCCUGGAAAACCUCAGGCUGAAUAGAUGCAGAGGGGCAGCCCAUGGGUAGGUGGAGGCAGCAGGUCCAAAACCCCCUUGACUGUGUUGAGUGGUGUAUACACUGCAGUCUGUCCCUGAUACAAGAGGCUAAGUGGGGACUGGCAGUAGCCCAGACUGAGGUGAGGUGGGGUUAGAGGGUGGGGGUUCCCCUGGAUGGGGAGACCCAGAACCUGAGAGUAUGGGGGUACUGCCAGGGGGGCAGCACCCCAGAGAAAGGGGCACUGGGUCCUGGGAGGGACAUGGGGGCCAGCGGUAAGGUGGAUCACUGGCCUGCAGAGGGCACUCCAGUGACUGGACCUGCUAAUUCCUGAUGACUACCAGCAGGAGGUGCUGCUGGGUGUUAGUAAAUGAAAAUAUGAAGCCAAGGAAACUACAGAUGCAUUUAGAAACCAAACAUCAGGAAAUCCAGACUCAAGAACCACAAUUUUUUCCUUCAGAAAUAAGAAUUAAAGUAGCAAAGAAAGUCACGUCUAAAGCAGUAGCCUCAAAAAGCCUUAAACAUCAUAUGUUGUAGCCACGCAAAUUGCAAAUGGCAAACAAGCACAUGCCUUCUACUUCCAGCAGCAAAAGACAUCUGUAGAAUUAUAAUGGGGAAACAAGGAGCCAAGGCACUGAAAACUAUUCCUACAUCAAAUAAUACCAUCCCUCAAUCUUUUGAUGACCUAGCAGAAAACAUCCAGGACCAGCUGAUAGAACAAGCUAAGAAAAAUCAGUAUAUUGCAGUGCAGCUUGAUGAGUUCUCAGACAUAGUCAACAUGGCUCAGCUUCUGUGUUACGUGAAAUUUGUCAAAGCAGUUACAAUAGUGGAAAAACUUUUUAUUUUCCAAAAAUAUUCAAGACCACUGAUAAAUUUAUAGUGCAUGAAAGUCUUAAUUGGGCUAUGUGUGGGGCUAUGCACUGAUGGAGCAGUAGCUAUGACAGGAAAGAACAAGUUGCAGCACAAGUAAACAAAGUGGUACCAGCAGCAAUUUGGACACACUGCAUAAUUCAUCACCAAGCUUUGGCAUCGAAGCAGUUGCAACCUGAAGUACAUGAGGCCCUCAACAUUGUUGUUAAAAUUAAUUUUAUAAAACUCGAGGCAAUGAACACACAUUGGGCUAGUAUACUGUGUGAAGAGAGACUUUUGACUAAUAUUUUGCUGGAGCUGAACACGAAUGUCUAGCUCCUGACUGGAUCAUUCAAAACCCCACUGUGGCAACAGUUGGUUCCAUUCCUACCUUAAUUAUCUCUGCUCAAGAAAAUCUCUUUGAAUUGUCAAGUGAUCAGAUGCUGAAGAUCAAGUUUUCUAAUCUAACCACAAAUUCUGGAUUUCUGUUAAAGGAGAGUACAAAGAAUUCAGCGAUGAAGCUGUUGGGAUAACUGAAAAAAGAAAUACAAAAUGGAGUCUGUGACAUCUGACUUAGAACUCCAUCCUUGUUUACCUCAGGGGCACAGAAUCAAAGCUAGCCCCAACUGGUCAGGACUGGAUUUUCUCACCUUUUGGGCUCUGGACAGUCUGUUUUUCCUGCCCAAAUCCUUGAAGGUUCUAUCACUUCAGGCUUGCUUGGCAUUGCUAUUUGGAAUGGUCCAAUUUUUCCCACCUUAACAUCUAUAAAAGACUGACUCCUGCCUGGAUGCCAGGCUGUCCAUCUGAGCAGCAUCCUGUACGCGGUGCAGUAGAGGUCUCAUCAUGGUUCCGACCAUAUCAACGAGAGUGACGCCUAUCCCGAAGACACCAGAGAAGACCUUCAACACUUACCUUAUCCUGCUGUUCCAUCUCCAGAGGGCUUCUCUUCCACAGAGAUCACCAUCCAUCCGUUGGACUCCUCGGAGUUCCUCCUUGCUUGCUUUCCACUACCCCGAUAGUUAAGGUCUUGAGCAUCACCAUCGCACACAAUUCAGCACAUAGAUUAAGUAGAAAGAAAUCCAAUCUCUAUUUAUAGGGUAUUUUGCCAAGGGAGGAAUUUGUCUGGGUCUGGGCUUUGUCCCAUUGGAAGUCCCUGUCACUGUUGGUUGUAAUACCGGUUUGUGUUUGUGGUUUUCCCCCUUCCCUAUCAAUUGUAUUCUUAUCCCUAAUACACACACCUUUUGCUUUCACCUUA